GUUAAGCGACUAAGCGUACACGGUGGAUGCCCUGGCAGUCAGAGGCGAUGAAGGACGUGCUAAUCUGCGAUAAGCGUCGGUAAGGUGAUAUGAACCGUUAUAACCGGCGAUUUCCGAAUGGGGAAACCCAGUGUGAUUCGUCACACUAUCAUUAACUGAAUCCAUAGGUUAAUGAGGCGAACCGGGGGAACUGAAACAUCUAAGUACCCCGAGGAAAAGAAAUCAACCGAGAUUCCCCCAGUAGCGGCGAGCGAACGGGGAGCAGCCCAGAGCCUGAAUCAGUGUGUGUGUUAGUGGAAGCGUCUGGAAAGGCGUGCGAUACAGGGUGACAGCCCCGUACACAAAAAUGCACAUGCUGUGAGCUCGAUGAGUAGGGCGGGACACGUGGUAUCCUGUCUGAAUAUGGGGGGACCAUCCUCCAAGGCUAAAUACUCCUGACUGACCGAUAGUGAACCAGUACCGUGAGGGAAAGGCGAAAAGAACCCCGGCGAGGGGAGUGAAAAAGAACCUGAAACCGUGUACGUACAAGCAGUGGGAGCACAGAGCAAUCUGUGUGACUGCGUACCUUUUGUAUAAUGGGUCAGCGACUUAUAUUCUGUAGCAAGGUUAACCGAAUAGGGGAGCCGAAGGGAAACCGAGUCUUAACUGGGCGUUAAGUUGCAGGGUAUAGACCCGAAACCCGGUGAUCUAGCCAUGGGCAGGUUGAAGGUUGGGUAACACUAACUGGAGGACCGAACCGACUAAUGUUGAAAAAUUAGCGGAUGACUUGUGGCUGGGGGUGAAAGGCCAAUCAAACCGGGAGAUAGCUGGUUCUCCCCGAAAGCUAUUUAGGUAGCGCCUCGUGAAUUCAUCUCCGGGGGUAGAGCACUGUUUCGGCAAGGGGGUCAUCCCGACUUACCAACCCGAUGCAAACUGCGAAUACCGGAGAAUGUUAUCACGGGAGACACACGGCGGGUGCUAACGUCCGUCGUGAAGAGGGAAACAACCCAGACCGCCAGCUAAGGUCCCAAAGUCAUGGUUAAGUGGGAAACGAUGUGGGAAGGCCCAGACAGCCAGGAUGUUGGCUUAGAAGCAGCCAUCAUUUAAAGAAAGCGUAAUAGCUCACUGGUCGAGUCGGCCUGCGCGGAAGAUGUAACGGGGCUAAACCAUGCACCGAAGCUGCGGCAGCGACACUGUGUGUUGUUGGGUAGGGGAGCGUUCUGUAAGCCUGCGAAGGUGUGCUGUGAGGCAUGCUGGAGGUAUCAGAAGUGCGAAUGCUGACAUAAGUAACGAUAAAGCGGGUGAAAAGCCCGCUCGCCGGAAGACCAAGGGUUCCUGUCCAACGUUAAUCGGGGCAGGGUGAGUCGACCCCUAAGGCGAGGCCGAAAGGCGUAGUCGAUGGGAAACAGGUUAAUAUUCCUGUACUUGGUGUUACUGCGAAGGGGGGACGGAGAAGGCUAUGUUGGCCGGGCGACGGUUGUCCCGGUUUAAGCGUGUAGGCUGGUUUUCCAGGCAAAUCCGGAAAAUCAAGGCUGAGGCGUGAUGACGAGGCACUACGGUGCUGAAGCAACAAAUGCCCUGCUUCCAGGAAAAGCCUCUAAGCAUCAGGUAACAUCAAAUCGUACCCCAAACCGACACAGGUGGUCAGGUAGAGAAUACCAAGGCGCUUGAGAGAACUCGGGUGAAGGAACUAGGCAAAAUGGUGCCGUAACUUCGGGAGAAGGCACGCUGAUAUGUAGGUGAAGUCCCUCGCGGAUGGAGCUGAAAUCAGUCGAAGAUACCAGCUGGCUGCAACUGUUUAUUAAAAACACAGCACUGUGCAAACACGAAAGUGGACGUAUACGGUGUGACGCCUGCCCGGUGCCGGAAGGUUAAUUGAUGGGGUCAGCGCAAGCGAAGCUCUUGAUCGAAGCCCCGGUAAACGGCGGCCGUAACUAUAACGGUCCUAAGGUAGCGAAAUUCCUUGUCGGGUAAGUUCCGACCUGCACGAAUGGCGUAAUGAUGGCCAGGCUGUCUCCACCCGAGACUCAGUGAAAUUGAACUCGCUGUGAAGAUGCAGUGUACCCGCGGCAAGACGGAAAGACCCCGUGAACCUUUACUAUAGCUUGACACUGAACAUUGAGCCUUGAUGUGUAGGAUAGGUGGGAGGCUUUGAAGUGUGGACGCCAGUCUGCAUGGAGCCGACCUUGAAAUACCACCCUUUAAUGUUUGAUGUUCUAACGUUGACCCGUGAUCCGGGUUGCGGACAGUGUCUGGUGGGUAGUUUGACUGGGGCGGUCUCCUCCUAAAGAGUAACGGAGGAGCACGAAGGUUGGCUAAUCCUGGUCGGACAUCAGGAGGUUAGUGCAAUGGCAUAAGCCAGCUUGACUGCGAGCGUGACGGCGCGAGCAGGUGCGAAAGCAGGUCAUAGUGAUCCGGUGGUUCUGAAUGGAAGGGCCAUCGCUCAACGGAUAAAAGGUACUCCGGGGAUAACAGGCUGAUACCGCCCAAGAGUUCAUAUCGACGGCGGUGUUUGGCACCUCGAUGUCGGCUCAUCACAUCCUGGGGCUGAAGUAGGUCCCAAGGGUAUGGCUGUUCGCCAUUUAAAGUGGUACGCGAGCUGGGUUUAGAACGUCGUGAGACAGUUCGGUCCCUAUCUGCCGUGGGCGCUGGAGAACUGAGGGGGGCUGCUCCUAGUACGAGAGGACCGGAGUGGACGCAUCACUGGUGUUCGGGUUGUCAUGCCAAUGGCACUGCCCGGUAGCUAAAUGCGGAAGAGAUAAGUGCUGAAAGCAUCUAAGCACGAAACUUGCCCCGAGAUGAGUUCUCCCUGACUCCUUGAGAGUCCUGAAGGAACGUUGAAGACGACGACGUUGAUAGGCCGGGUGUGUAAGCGCAGCGAUGCGUUGAGCUAACCGGUACUAAUGAACCGUGAGGCUUAACCUUACAACGCCGAAGGUGUUU
This 2922-nucleotide ribosomal RNA is filed under the name Escherichia coli. RNAcentral's name for it is "partial 23S ribosomal RNA". It matches the Rfam family "Bacterial large subunit ribosomal RNA". The record is from RNAcentral. Lineage: Bacteria; Pseudomonadati; Pseudomonadota; Gammaproteobacteria; Enterobacterales; Enterobacteriaceae.